CGAGAAUUUACAAAAAUACUUGGAAACGUAUUACAUCG
This 38-nucleotide small RNA is filed under the name Candidatus Protochlamydia amoebophila. RNAcentral describes it as "CRISPR-DR46". The record is from RNAcentral. Lineage: Bacteria; Pseudomonadati; Chlamydiota; Chlamydiia; Parachlamydiales; Parachlamydiaceae.